This is a long non-coding RNA of Anolis carolinensis (green anole), 2364 nucleotides long. NCBI's taxonomy places the organism in Eukaryota, Metazoa, Chordata, Lepidosauria, Squamata, Anolidae. The record is from Ensembl.
AUGAUGCUUUUUCCAUUGGUGGUUGCUCUUUUCGUGGUGGUAUCAGCUAAUCCUAAGCAUGGCCCUGGUGAAGGGGGAAAACGUGAGCAUGGUUUAGGACAUCCACAUGGUCGUCCACAUGGACAGGGGAAGAGAAGGUUCAAUGUAGGACAUCCACUUCCACCCAAUGAUGAAGACGUAAGUUUUCCCCUCAAUUAUUGUUUUCUUGGUUUUCUUCCUAGUUUCCCCAUUUAUUAGUCACAGAAUAAAUGUCUAAUGGAGAUGAAAUGGAAAAUGGCUUCCUAAUAUUCUCCACUAGUCCAGUUUGGGGCAACUCUUGAUCACUAUUGUCUUGUGGAAUGAGCUUGUGUGAGAAAUAUUGAAAGAAAGAAUAGGUAUAAUCCUCCAGUACUUUAGCUGGACAUGAAAUGUGUUGUGGUAAUCUCUGAGCGGUUAGACUCAAUUUAACCCUCUCUGGGGGAGAUUCCACCAAAAUGUAGCAGAGUAGCAAAAGCAAAAACUUUCAAAUGCAGCAGUUACUUACACGUGGUGAGCAAAGAGAAGCCUCUGACUAUUUAGGAUUGCAAUGGACUGCAGAGUCUCAAUAAAAGUUCAAAAAGUAUUUAUUCAGGUAAAAAGAACUCCAUUGUAGAUAGAAAGGUUUGGGAGCUGUCUAGUCUACUCUAGACUGGUUUCUAAGGAAAAAUAAGAAAGGAAAAAUAACAAACAUCUAAAUAAUUACAUCUUGCCAGGAGAGAUGGCAGGACGUGUUGUUAGCUUGAAGAACAAAGGGAGAAGAGCGAACCAAAAUGGUUCCAACCUCAUGGUCCAGUUUGUUGGGGCCAUAAAAGACAUUCUGACCAAUGGGAAGUUAGUGUCCCUAAAGAUUCACAUUUCUACUAACUUCAAAGUAAGGGAUGUGACGUACACAGGAUAGAGGGAAACACAGUAAAGCCUGUCUAGGCAUGCUUUGGAAACAGGGAAAGGAUUCCCUCAAUCUAACUCUAUCAUCUAUCUAACUACAUCUAGACUUGAGUAGUCCAGGAUGAUUCCCAACAAAAUGGACACACUUACUCCCCAAAGAGAUGUUCCCAUUCCCCUAAUAAAUGCAGUUUUACCUUUUUUCUCUCCUCCUUAGUCUGAAGACGAGAUGGAAAGACCUGUUCUGGAUGUAAGUAAUAGUGUGUUGCAUUUGCCAGCAGGAGAUACACAAGACAUACUAGUUUGGGUACAUGAAACAGCUGAGCACAAUCUGCCCUUUUGUAGACCUAGAACCUGCUCCCUGGCUUCUCCAGAUGACCAUGCUCCUUUCCCAUGAAAUAACAGAGGAGUUUGAAACGUUUUUCCUAAAGGUUAUAAGAGCUAUUUUUUGAAAGUGCACACAGACAACAGGAUGAAGACUAAUCUUAGUAAGGUUUUCCCCAACAUUAAGUCUAGUCGUGUCUGACCCUGGGGGUUGGUGCUCAUCUCUAUUUCUAAGCCAAAGAGCCGGCAUUGUCUAUAGACACCUCCAAGGUCAUGUGGCCGGCAUAACUAAAUGGAGUGCUGUUACCUUCCCGCCUGAGCGGUACCUAUUGAUCUACUCACAUUUCCAUGUUUUCGAACUGCUAGGUUGGCAGGAGCUGGAGCUAACAGUGGAAGCUAACCCCACUCUCCAGAUUCAAACUGCAAGUUCAGCAGCUCAGGAGUUUAACCCACUGCGCCACUGGGGGCUCCAAUCUUAACACAUGUUGAAUUUUAUGUUCUUGGCCUACCUUAAGUGUCACAACUGGGAGAAGUUUGCUAUGUGAUCUCAAGUCAGCCCACUCAUACACACAGAAUGCUAUAAAUCCCAGGAUGGACUGUUAUGUGAUUGGAUCAGGGUGUAUUCAAAUAUUAUUCCACAAUCCAAAGACCAUUCUCCUUCAAGUUAGCUACUACAGGGAGGAGGGAAUGAAGAUGUUGUCCUUCAAAAUUAUUUUAUUUAUUUAUUUAUUUAUUUACAGUAUUUAUAUUCCGCCCUUCUCACCCCGAAGAGCAGAUCACAUUGCACACAUAUAAGGCAAACAUUCAGUGCCAUAACAUAGAACAGAGACAGAGACAGACGCAGGAAAGGGCUGGCCUCGAACUCAUGACCUCUUGGUCAGAGUGAUUUGUUGCAGCUGGCUGCUAACCAGCCUGUGCCAUAGCCUUCUCCCCCCAAAUUUGUGCCAUUGCCAAAAGAGAGACAUUCAAAUUAAACACUUCUCUUUUUUGUAUUUGCAUUCCCAUAGUCACUUUACCUGUAAUUUUUCUUUGUUUCUGAAUGCUUAACUGGUUUUAUAUUAAAGUUGGAGAUUAAAGGAAAAAAUCCACCCGGUGGAUCAGAAUUCUUAUUUGGGGGCAAUGCCCUUACAUACUCACCCA